This 245-nucleotide ribosomal RNA is filed under the name Silene insularis. The record is from RNAcentral. Lineage: Eukaryota; Viridiplantae; Streptophyta; Magnoliopsida; Caryophyllales; Caryophyllaceae.
UCGAAACCUGCCCAGCAGAGCGACCCGUGAACAUGUUCAACCUCGUGGGUGUUGGGGCGUUGCCCGGUGCCUCGUGCGCCGGCCCUUCCCCAACCCCAUGCCGGGGGAGCGCCCACUAGUGGGCCGUUUCCACGGCAAAACAACGAACCCCGGCGCGUAAUGCGUCAAGGACUACAAACUUUAUGUGUGUGCCCUCCCGCCGCCCGGUUAGCCGGGCGUUGGAGCGGUGCCAUGUCUUAACAAUA